Molecule: long non-coding RNA, 304 nt
Filed under: Homo sapiens (human)
Lineage: Eukaryota; Metazoa; Chordata; Mammalia; Primates; Hominidae
Description: non-protein coding lnc-NAA38-5:1
Source: RNAcentral
AGUGGUCAGCUGUAGGUGGUAGAGGUCAGGCAGGCAAGGCCCUUCUGCUCGGGAAGGGAGCUUCAGGCUAGAACUCUCCAGGACAGGGAGGCUCAUAACCUGGGAGCAGAGAGUGUGUAUCUAUAGUCUGUGGCAUCUGUGUUCUGCGGUUGUGCUGGGGGGAGGGACUAGGAAAGGGCUAGUCGAGAGCAGAGUGGGCAGACUUUAGGACAGACCAAGAGGAGGAGUGAGGGGGAAGCCUAGGGGGUCAGAGGGUGUGUGAGGGGUGUCUGGACAACAGAGUGGGGGAGGGGCUAACAGCCAU